Molecule: transfer RNA, 77 nt
Filed under: Amphiplicatus metriothermophilus
Lineage: Bacteria; Pseudomonadati; Pseudomonadota; Alphaproteobacteria; Parvularculales; Parvularculaceae
Also listed under: 1 other name
Description: tRNA-Arg
Rfam family: tRNA
About the family: Transfer RNA (tRNA) molecules are approximately 80 nucleotides in length. Their secondary structure includes four short double-helical elements and three loops (D, anti-codon, and T loops).
Source: RNAcentral
GAUCCCGUAGCUCAGUUGGAUAGAGCGCUAGCCUCCGAAGCUAGAGGUCACAGGUUCAAAUCCUGUCGGGAUCGCCA